Molecule: ribosomal RNA, 484 nt
Filed under: uncultured bacterium
Lineage: Bacteria
Description: partial 16S ribosomal RNA
Rfam family: Bacterial small subunit ribosomal RNA
Source: RNAcentral
AUUGAACGCUGGCGGCAUGCUUUACACAUGCAAGUCGAACGGCAGCGCGGGCUUCGGCCUGGCGGCGAGUGGCGAACGGGUGAGUAAUACAUCGGAACGUGCCCAGUAGUGGGGGAUAGCUCGGCGAAAGCCGGAUUAAUACCGCAUACGACCUGAGGGCGAAAGCGGGGGAUCUUCGGACCUCGCGCCAUUGGAGCGGCCGAUGGCAGAUUAGCUAGUUGGUGGGGUAAAGGCCUACCAAGGCGACGAUCUGUAGCUGGUCUGAGAGGACGACCAGCCACACUGGGACUGAGACACGGCCCAGACUCCUACGGGAGGCAGCAGUGGGGAAUUUUGGACAAUGGGCGAAAGCCUGAUCCAGCAAUGCCGCGUGUGUGAUGAAGGCCUUCGGGUUGUAAAGCACUUUUGGCGGGAACGAAAAGGACUGUGCCAAUACCACGGUUCGAUGACGGUACCCGCAGAAUAAGCACCGGCUAACUACGUG